Molecule: long non-coding RNA, 204 nt
Organism: Exaiptasia diaphana
Lineage: Eukaryota; Metazoa; Cnidaria; Anthozoa; Actiniaria; Aiptasiidae
Exons: 3
Source: RefSeq, a predicted model, not a curated record
UCCUCAAGCAAUAAAAGUACUUCUGGCGCUAUUCUCAAUGGAAUAUCUGCAAAGCCAACGGCAUACAAAGAACAUCUCCAAAAAGCUGUAGAUGAGRCAGUCAAAGAAAUGGAUGGAUGCGAGGACCCUGYUGCCGUCCUGAGGUGCUUCCAGCAACACUUUUUAAGAGGACGCAAGCUCGACCUAGAAGAAGAGGACAUUUCG